Molecule: ribosomal RNA, 261 nt
Filed under: uncultured archaeon
Lineage: Archaea
Description: partial 16S ribosomal RNA
Rfam family: Archaeal small subunit ribosomal RNA
Source: RNAcentral
UAGCCGUAAACGAUACUCGCUAGGUGUCGGCCACGGUGCGACCGUUGUCGGUGCCGUAGGGAAGCCGUGAAGCGAGCCACCUGGGAAGUACGGCCGCAAGGCUGAAACUUAAAGGAAUUGGCGGGGGAGCACCACAACGGGUGGAGCUUGCGGUUUAAUUGGAUUCAACACCGGAAAACUCACCAGGGGAGACUGUUGCAUGAAACCCAGACUAAUGAUCUUGGUUGAUUUUCAGAGAGGAGGUGCAUGGCGUCAGUGACU